CAACAAACUCCACUCAGUUUACCAACACACUCUUUGUCAAGACUGUUCUGUACCUUUUAGCACUUAUUAUUAACAAGGGAAUGGCUACUCUUCUCUCUAGGAGUUGAUACUGUUUGAGGAGGAAAGUUUCCUAUGAGGAGCCAGCAUCCAUUGGCACAUCCCUCACUAUGCCCACUGCUGUUGAAAGGAAGAUGAAGAGUGAGUAAGAGCAUUUCUUGCUCUUUGCAAAAGUACGGUGAAUAGAUCAUGCCUCAAAAAAAGCAUUAGCACACCAUGGGCAUUGGGCCUUAACAGCUGAAGGAUAGUGAAGGUAUCUGAAAGCUUCCUUACCUUUGGUCUGAACAGGACUGCGCCCCAGGUUCCAGAAGCAGUAUAGGCAGAGACUUCAAUGUAACACAUGUCAGAAGAAGGUAUUCAUGGAUGAUGGCCUGGGGAACAAACA
Molecule: long non-coding RNA, 442 nt
Filed under: Numida meleagris (helmeted guineafowl)
Lineage: Eukaryota; Metazoa; Chordata; Aves; Galliformes; Numididae
Description: lncRNA (ENSNMEG00000015981.1)
Source: RNAcentral